Molecule: ribosomal RNA, 253 nt
Filed under: uncultured bacterium
Lineage: Bacteria
Description: partial 16S ribosomal RNA
Rfam family: Bacterial small subunit ribosomal RNA
Source: RNAcentral
UACGGGGGGGGCAAGCGUUGUUCGGAAUUACUGGGCGUAAAGGGCUCGUAGGUGGCCAACUAAGUCAGACGUGAAAUCCCUCGGCUUAACCGGGGAACUGCGUCUGAUACUGGAUGGCUUGAGUUCGGGAGAGGGAUGCGGAAUUCCAGGUGUAGCGGUGAAAUGCGUAGAUAUCUGGAGGAACACCGGUGGCGAAGGCGGCAUCCUGGACCGAUACUGACGCUGAGGAGCGAAGGCCAGGGGAGCAAACGGG